Molecule: ribosomal RNA, 279 nt
Filed under: uncultured bacterium
Lineage: Bacteria
Description: partial 16S ribosomal RNA
Rfam family: Bacterial small subunit ribosomal RNA
Source: RNAcentral
UGCCAGCAGCCGCGGUAAUACGGGGGGAGCAAGCGUUGUCCGGAAUUACUGGGCGUAAAGGGCGUGUAGGUGGCCUGGUCAGUCAGAUGUGAAAGCCCGCGGCUUAACCGCGGAACUGCAUUUGAAACUGCCAGGCUUGAGUGCGAGAGAGGGUAGCGGAAUUCCGAGUGUAGAGGUGAAAUUCGUAGAUAUUCGGAGGAACACCAGUGGCGAAGGCGGCUCACUGGCUCGAUACUGACGCUGAGGUACGAAAGUGUGGGGAGCAAACAGGAUUAGAUA